This 242-nucleotide long non-coding RNA is filed under the name Lathyrus oleraceus (garden pea). RNAcentral's name for it is "Pisum sativum (pea) long non-coding RNA (PSAT_LNC003328)". The record is from RNAcentral. Lineage: Eukaryota; Viridiplantae; Streptophyta; Magnoliopsida; Fabales; Fabaceae.
UACAAUCACUUAAGUGUGACUUUUGUGGAGGAGGACAUGAAAACGAAAUGUGUUCGUUGGCAGAGGUAAGUGAAGAGGCCCAAUUUGAAAUUUCUCAGAAGAACAAACCCUAUUCAUAUACCUACAAUCAGGGAUGGAAGGAUCAUCCGAAUUUUCGUUAGAAAAAUAAAAAAAAACCAAAGUGGUACCCAAGCUAUGCAACAAAACUAACAAGUUUCUAACUUUCAAAUGAGGCAAUCUUU